ACCCGGGAACUCUCCCCUCCCCGCCCACCAAUCAGCUCUGCUCACAGUGCGGCCUUCCCAAGGGCAACGCGCUCCCCUUCCCACCCCUCCAGCAUAGCGCUGGUUUCCUAGCCGCUCCUGGUGCUUUGCAUGAGUGUGUGUGAGGGAAUCGCCUCCAAGCCAACAGUCAGUUGAGGGAAGAGGAGAAAACAAAACCCUGGAGUCAGGUGUGGGCCCCUCCUGAAGGGGGGAGGCGGAAAUGCUGAGAAAAUGUUUACCAGGAGGACUCCCUGGGGAUGAUUUCUCAGAGUUGUGGCAGAUAUAUAUAUAAUAUAUCAUGAUAGUUUUAUUUCAUAUGAGCAAGGUGGCCAGUUAACAGGGAAGGUGGAGUCAGGGCAGAACAGCAGCUGAAGAGAAUUUUCCCCAAUGGACAUCAAUGUUGAGUAACUGCCCUUGAUUCAGGAGAGUCGUUAGCACUGAAAACAGGUUGCAGGGGACCCAGAGGCCUUUCCCCUUGCUCUACCGCUUGCCACAGGAGGCUGCUUCCCACCAUCCCUUCCAACUGAGCUCACUCAGCCUUUUAUAGGAAUCACCUGACCCUAUUCCCAACAAUAGUCUGGAAUUUUAUAACACCCUUCUAUAUAAAGAGGAUCAUCUUUGGUGUCCAGAUUGAAAGUCACCACCACUCACCGCCAAGUUCAAGUGUAUUCAGGCAGUUUGUUUGCAGCAAUUUUUCUGAAACAGUCUACUGAUGCUAUUUCUCAAACUGGAGCUCAUGUGUGGCCAUUUCCCCCCGUGAUAACGGUUUUUCCUUCAUUAUGCAUCAUACCUUGCAAAUGAUCCAGGAAAUAUGCUGGAACUGGUGGGCUACAAUAGACAAAGGAGCAUGUAUGAACUUGUAGGCCAGAUUUCAAUUAUGGAGAAAAAGGGAGAUGCAAUUGAUGAAUGACUAGAUGAAGCAAAGAACUCACAAAUGGCUGAGUGCAGAAGACAAUUGAUCUACCACAGCUAAAACAUGGAUGAUUUAACUACAUCAUGAAAGAAAAAAGAUAGAAUUCCUCUUUGAUAAGGUGCCUGAUCUGGAAAAUUUCUAAGGGAAAAUUGUCUAGACUCUCAGAAGAGAAAGGUGGCAGAAUAUAAUGAAGAUCUUGUAAACUUUGAUACUGUAGACUUGUGGUUAAGAGUUAACAGGACCUGUGUUUGAGAUUAAAUUAGCACUUUUGAUACCUCUGUGACAGUGUCCGCAUUAGUGAUUGACAUCUAGGCUGGUGUAGCCCAUCAUAAUUAGGGCCCUGGGUAUUCUGCAGCUGCAGAAUGUUGCAGAAUUCACCCGUUGCCCCUCCAGAAUCUCAGGUUUAAUUUUUUUAAUUUUAAUUUUUUUUCUCUCUCGUGACUGUGGAGAGAAUUUUAAAAAUCCAGAUUGAGCAGAGAUGCUUGUCUGAGUCUGCAGAGAGCCUGAAACAAUAGUCUUCAAAGGCGUUCACUGCCCCAUUCAUUGCAUUCAAGGCCCCACAGACUCCAUGAUUCUGCAGCUGUGGAACUCCACAUUUUUUGAAGAAGCUACGUAAUUCAGCUUUUUUUGCUUACCCCAGGCUCCUGACAUUUGCUUUCUGUCUCCUGGCCAUACCAGGAGCUGCCUGCAUCUUCCUCUCUAGCUUUCCCCACAAAGGACAGUUAAUUGGAAUACAGUGCAUGUUCCCUAUGUUGUUCCAUGGAGCCAGGCAGUGGGUGGUCAGGAAACCAGAACUGGAGUUUAGUCUGCAACCAUGCAGUGGGAGUGGGAGGAAUCCAGAAACAUAGGCUAGCACGAUGGGAUGCAUAGAAAAUAGCGCAGCAGCCAAGGCCUGGGUUGCUGGAGAGAUGAGCUUCUGAAGCUUGAUACAAGCUUCCCCAUCUCCUUCUUGGACUGCAUGGGGAGAAGGAGGUUCUGAGCUGGGCUGCUUAGACAACAUUGCAGGAGCCAAGAGCCAGAGAGUGGACCCAGCUAUCUGAAGACCGUAGUGGGAAAACAGAAAUCCUUGAAUAUAAUCAUUGAUGAAUUUUUCAUCAAUGAGUGUUUUCAACUACGAACCAUAAAUGUGUGUUUUUGUGUGAGGGUGGCAAAGCUGGGAAUUAAGGGUGUUUCAUGGCAAUAGAGUACUUUUAAAGUAGCUGAGGAAUGUAGGGAUUGCCAUGAAAUAUAGGGUGUUUUGCUGCAGAAUACAGUCCCAAUGUUCUGUGGAGUGUACAGGGCACUGAUCACAAUGUUGCUUCUGAGAUACAAGGGUUGGGAAGUUAUGUUAUUUUAUUUUUCUCAGCAUCAGUUCACACCUUCAGAUGCAUUAUGACAUGUAGAGGGAUAGGCUGGCAAAGUCUACAAUAUAAAAGGUUGUUUGUGCUUUUCUUCAGCUCUCUAGAUUGUGAGUAGAGUCCAAGAGGAAGACACUCACCUUUUUUUUUUUUUUUUUGGUUAGUGAUUUGACCCUGUCACUACAGGAAUCAUCUCCUUAUAGAUUUUUCAGUCCUGGUUCAUAAAGGAGCUAUUGCUCUCUGCCUGGAACUAGGGAAGUUCUCUAAGACCAUAGACAGCUUGAGGACCACUGGCCUUUUACAA
Molecule: long non-coding RNA, 2572 nt
Organism: Mauremys mutica (yellowpond turtle)
Lineage: Eukaryota; Metazoa; Chordata; Testudines; Geoemydidae
Exons: 5
Source: RefSeq, a predicted model, not a curated record